Molecule: ribosomal RNA, 1970 nt
Filed under: human gut metagenome
Description: bacterial LSU rRNA
Rfam family: Bacterial large subunit ribosomal RNA
Source: RNAcentral
GUGAACAAUUAAGGGCGCGCGGUGGAUGCCUAGGCUCUCGGAGGCGAAGAAGGACGCGAUAAGCCGCGAUAGUCCACGGCGAGGUGCAAGUAACCCUUGACCCGUGGGUUUCCGAAUGGGGCAACCCGGCCGUCUAGAUGACGGUCAUGCAUUAUCAUGCAGGCGAACGCGGGGAACUGAAACAUCUCAUUACCCGCAGGAGAAGAAAACAAAAUGUGAUUCCCCCAGUAGUGGCGAGCGAACGGGGAAGAGCCCAAACCGCUGCCGUUUCGGCGACAGCGGGGUCAUGGGACCACGCCAUUCGAAACAAGAUGAAGUGCAAUUACCUGGAAAGGUAAGCCGCGGAGGGUGAUAGCCCCGUGCACGUCAAUUCUUGUGGAGAUAGUGGAAUCCCGAGUAGGGCGGGACACGAGAAAUCCUGCCUGAAUUCGCCAGGACCUCCUGGCAAGGCUAAAUACUCCCGAGAGACCGAUAGUGAACCAGUACCGCGAGGGAAAGGUGAAAAGUACCCCGAGCAGGGGGGUGAAAUAGACCCUGAACCCGCGCGCCUACAAGCGGUCGGAGCUGCCUUGUGCAGUGACGGCGUGCCUUUUGCAUAAUGAGCCUACGAGUUAGUCGUCACCAGCGAGGUUAAGGGCUUCAGGCCCGUAAGCCGAAGUGAAAGCGAGCCUUAACAGGGCGUUAAGUUGGUGGCGCUAGACGCGAAACCUUGUGAUCUACCCACGAGCAGGUUGAAGUCGCGGUAACACGUGAUGGAGGACCGAACCGGUAAACGUUGAAAAGUUUUCGGAUGACUCGCGGGUAGGGGUGAAAGGCCAAUCAAACUGGGAAAUAGCUCGUACUCUCCGAAAUGCAUUUCGGUGCAGCCUGUGAUGUUCUGUUCCAGAGGUAGAGCUACUGGUUGGACGCGAGGGCUUCACCGCCUAUCAAAUCCGGAUAAACUCCGAAUGCUGGAACACGAAAUCAUGGAGUGAGCCCGCGGGUGCUAAGGUCCGCGGACGAGAGGGAAAGAACCCGGACCACCGGCUAAGGUCCCGGAUGGACAGUUAAGUUGAUCAAACGAGGUGGGAUCGCUGAGACAGCUAGGAUGUUGGCUUGGAAGCAGCCAUUCAUUUAAAGAGUGCGUAACAGCUCACUAGUCGAGCGAUCCCGCGUGGAUAAUACACGGGCAUCAAACUGUCAACCGAAGCCGUGGGGUUAGCUUGAUGGCUAACCGGUAGGAGAGCAUUCCUGCCAGCGUUGAAGGUCACCCGCGAGAGUGACUGGAGCGGCAUGAAAAGCAAAUGUAGGCAUAAGUAACGAUAAUGGGGGCGAGAACCCCCCACGCCGCAAGACCAAGGCUUCCCCGGCAAUGUCAAUCAGCCGGGGGUCAGCCGGCCUCUAAGGCUAACCCGAACGGGGAUGCCGACGAGAAACGGGUUAACAUUCCCGUGCUUCUCGUCACCGUGACGCGGUGACGGGGUGAUGAAUGGACCGCGCGCUGACGGAAUAGCGCGUUGAAGGCCGUACCCUUCGAGGGUGGUAGUCAAGCACGCCACCCGAGGCGAUAGCCGAUAGUACCACGAGACUCCGGUCGAGUGGAUAGCGUCCAGGCAAUUUACCCCCGAGAAAACCCGCUAAACUUCAAGUGACGAGGAACCGUACUGUAAACGGACACACGUGGUCGGGUAGAACAUACCAAGGCGCUCGAGUGAUUCAUGGUCAAGGAACUAGGCAAAAUAGUCCUGUAACUUCGGGAAAAAGGACGCUCUAGUGAUAGAGCCGCAGAGUAAUGGCCCAGGCGACUGUUUACCAAAAACACAUGGCUAUGCCAAAUCGAAAGAUGACGUAUAUGGCCUGACACCUGCCCGGUGCCGGAAGGUUAAGAGGAGAGCUCAUCGGAAACGAGAAGGUUUGAAUUGAAGCCCCGGUAAACGGCGGCCGUAACUAUAACGGUCCUAAGGUAGCGAAAUUCCUUGUCGGGUAAGUUC